GUGCUCACUUCAGUAGCACGUGGACUAAAAUCGGGACCGUACAGAGAUCAGCACGGCCCCUGCUCAAGGGUGACACUCAGCUCCACGAAGUGUUCCAUAUGUUU
Molecule: small nuclear RNA, 104 nt
Organism: Acomys russatus (golden spiny mouse)
Lineage: Eukaryota; Metazoa; Chordata; Mammalia; Rodentia; Muridae
Source: RefSeq, a predicted model, not a curated record